GUGCGCGUGCACCUCCGUCUAGCGUGUGUGUGCAUGCGUGCUCGUGCAUGUGGUGGGUGGGCUGGGGGAGAGGAAGUUACACUGUGGUUGGAGAUUUUGCAGGAACAAGCACUGGGCCCAAGGAUGGGGCACCGAGGACACAGCGCAGAGUCUGCGCAUCAUCCUGCAGGGCCUGUGGAGACACAGGGACAAUUUAAGCAGGGAAGUGUGUGGUCAGGAGCGUGUUUUGGGAAGCUCACCCGGAGAGCACUGUGGAGGGUGGGUGUGGGAGUGGCAGUGAGAGGGGAAGUUAGGAGCCAUCGCAAAAUGCCAGGAGGAAGCCAGUGACGGUUAGUGGGGGCAAGCGGCCAUAGGGGAGGACACGGGUGCCCCAGAUGAAGGAGGCAGAAUCUCCAGGACCAGGGAACAGGCUAGAUGUGAGCACUGAAAGCAAGGGGGCGUGCACAUGGGGCUCAGGUUCCAGCUAGCAUGCCUGUGUGGGCACUGAGUCCCUUCCCCUGGAUAGACGGGACAGUACAGAGGAACAAGAGCUGGGCUUGGGGCCAAGGGGCUUUGAGUGGAAGACUUUGAGAACCAAAGUCCUUAAUUCUCUCCAUUCUAUUGUCCCAAAGCUAAAGAAGUGGGAAUGAGUACCCCAUCCCUGGCAGUAUUCAAGCCUAAUCAGAUGACCUCUUAGCAGGGAUUGUUUCGAGGGUUUUUCUGUCCUGGGAGGGCAGGUGGAGGGUGUCUUCGUCAGCCUGGGCCGUCCUCCAGAGCACAAAUUGCUGAAGAUUUGCUGUGAUUUGAGAAUUGCCGAGAUUCUCACAGUCCUAGUGGCCAGAGGUCCAGAUUGAGGUCUGGCAGGGUCAGGUUCCAGUGAGAAGGUGACCUAGAGAGAGUGCUGGUCUCUUCUUGUAAGGCCACAAUCCAACUGCUUCCUAGGAAAGAGCCAGCAAGGGGAGGCAGGGCCUGACCUUGGUCAUGGACCUCCUGGCCGAGGGAGUGCGUGGGGAACGGAAGACACACCUGUGCAUGGGCUGGUCCCGUCUCUGCUGCUCGGCAUCUCGUCACCCCGCGGAAGUCACCUUGGUGCCAGCAAGAGGCUCCGGGCGCCCCGCGGCUGCUGCCGGUGCAUCUAAUUAGUCCUGCCCUCCAGCUGACAGCUCUCACCCUCUGACUAAAUGGCAGUUUCCCCCCAAGUGCUUCCCUCUGGCAAAGCUAAAUAUUAAUUAUCUCCCUUUAUUUCAUGAUUAUUCACGGGCGCCCGUGUCACCCCAUCCCAGAGACGUUGGCGCCGGGAGAUGUGAAGAGUGGUUCAUUGUAGGAGCUGCCUAGCCAUCCUGGAGCCCAUCAGACUGUCCUUGCCUGAGGAGCCCGGUCUGUCUGUCCCCGGGUUACCGCGGAGCUGUGCCUGAUGCCUGGGUCGACGUCCCAGGGGGAGUUUCAGGGUCCAAGGGAAGAGAUGCAGUUUGCCCUGCCAGAAGCGUGGGGGAAAGGCUCUCCCCCAGAACAGCCGGAGACUGUUCUCACCUGGACGACUCCUGCACUGUUCCCCUGCUGCCAGGUGAACAGAAACCCCUAGGGCACCCAGGGCGCUGCGGGCGACGUGCAGGCAUUGGGGACGGAGGCAGAGCCAGAAGAUACGGCCUGCUGUGUGUGCGGGGGUAGGUCUAAACCCAGACACGUGGCAGGAGCCGACUCUGGACCUCUGGGGGUUAGGUGGGGUAGGUUGUGAGUCUUUGUGCCCUGGCGUGUCUAUGGGAGGGGGCAUUUUGCACAUGGGGGUGUCAGUAAGGGGAACGAAAGGGCCUUUCUCCGCCUGAUGCACCCUCUUGGCAUAUGGGGUUCACCUGAUACCCGCUCAUCGUUCAUUGAUUGAGACACAGCCGAGGGGGUGCUGCUUGUCCCUUAACUCUGGGCUGCUGUCCCUCCCAGGGCUGCCGGCGCCGAGGAUGCCAGCAGAUGGCCCGAGUUCCCAGCGUGGCCAGUGGACAAUGCAACCAAGCAUUCCCAUCACUUCCAAGUAACAGAGCAGGUGACAGGGCUGACCGGCCACGGGCCUCUGGUGGGUGCUCGGGCCCAUGUGCCCACCCGCCUUGACUCAUCUGCCACACAGAGGGAGAGGCAGGAGGCAGUGUCACAGAGGACGGAAGACCACAGGAGGGUCCAGGGCACCUGGCGGUCUACCCCGGCCAGCCUUCCUCACCAGGCCCACCUGUGAACGCCCCUUGUCUCUCGGACCCUUGGCUUCUUCAUCUGUGAAAUGGAGCCGGUCGCUUUGCAUUUUCACACCGAAAGGAAAUUUGAACCCGCAACCACCUGACCACAGCUCCCAGGACGCAGGCGUGGGAGAUGCCAAAGGCCAGCGAUGAACAGAGGGCAGGAGAGGACACGCGCUCCCCGUAGCUCUGGUCUAGAAGAAAGAGCUCUAGAACUUGGUUAGAAUCCCAGCAAACUCCAGGGAAGCCCUGGGGUGUCACCCCUGUGAGAGGCCUCUGCUGCCUUGCAGGGGACACUGACUGUCCUUGGAUCCCUGAUUCGCAGGCGCUGGCGAGGCCCCGGAAACUCUCCAAAUAGGUGUCACGUGUGGGCAGUUAAGAAGAACGGCCCUGGUUGGGGAACCAAACAUCUCUGCACAUAAACCUUUGAUGGAGAAGAGCUGUGAGUGUUUGCAGAAUACCUCCUCUCCUCCCUGCCCUGCUGGCCACUGGCCAAGCUACC
Long non-coding RNA from Mustela erminea (ermine), 2700 nucleotides. RefSeq lists it as uncharacterized. The transcript has 4 exons. NCBI's taxonomy places the organism in Eukaryota, Metazoa, Chordata, Mammalia, Carnivora, Mustelidae. The record is from RefSeq and is a predicted model, not a curated record.